This 495-nucleotide ribosomal RNA is filed under the name uncultured bacterium. RNAcentral describes it as "partial 16S ribosomal RNA". It matches the Rfam family "Bacterial small subunit ribosomal RNA", at positions 28 to 507 of the family's 1533-position model. The record is from RNAcentral.
GACGAACGCUGGCGGCGUGCCUAAUACAUGCAAGUAGAACGCUGAAGGAGGAGCUUGCUUCUCUGGAUGAGUUGCGAACGGGUGAGUAACGCGUAGGUAACCUGCCUGGUAGCGGGGGAUAACUAUUGGAAACGAUAGCUAAUACCGCAUAAUAGUAGAUGUUGCAUGACAUUUGCUUAAAAGGUGCAAUUGCAUCACUACCAGAUGGACCUGCGUUGUAUUAGCUAGUUGGUGAGGUAACGGCUCACCAAGGCGACGAUACAUAGCCGACCUGAGAGGGGGAUCGGCCACACUGGGACUGAGACACGGCCCAGACUCCUACGGGAGGCAGCAGUAGGGAAUCUUCGGCAAUGGACGCAAGUCUGACCGAGCAACGCCGCGUGAGUGAAGAAGGUUUUCGGAUCGUAAAGCUCUGUUGUAAGAGAAGAACGAGUGUGAGAGUGGAAAGUUCACACUGUGACGGUAUCUUACCAGAAAGGGACGGCUAACUACGUG